UACGUAGGACCCAAGCGUUAUCCGGAGUGACUGGGCGUAAAGAGUUGCGUAGGCGGAAGUCAAAGCGAAUAGUGAAACCUGGUGGCUCAACCAUUCAGACUAUUAUUCGAACUCGGCUUCUCGAGAGUAGUAGAGGUACCUGGAAUUUCUCGUGUAGGAGUGAAAUCCGUAGAUAUGAGAAGGAACACCAAUGGCGUAGGCAGGGUACUGGGCUAUUUCUGACGCUAAGGCACGAAAGCGUGGGGAGCGAACCGG
RNAcentral lists this unclassified non-coding RNA (255 nucleotides) under Patescibacteria group bacterium. RNAcentral's name for it is "contains 16S-23S intergenic spacer region". It matches the Rfam family "Bacterial small subunit ribosomal RNA", at positions 524 to 776 of the family's 1533-position model. The record is from RNAcentral.